AACGAACGCUGGCGACAGGCCUAACACAUGCAAGUCGAGCGAACCUUCGGGUUAGCGGCGGACGGGUGAGUAACGCGUGGGAAUAUGCCCUUUGGUACGGAAUAGCCUCGGGAAACUGAGAGUAAUACCGUAUGUGCCCUUCGGGGGAAAGAUUUAUCGCCAAAGGAUUAGCCCGCGUUGGAUUAGGUAGUUGGUGGGGUAAUGGCCUACCAAGCCUACGAUCCAUAGCUGGUUUGAGAGGAUGAUCAGCCACACUGGGACUGAGACACGGCCCAGACUCCUACGGGAGGCAGCAGUGGGGAAUCUUAGACAAUGGGCGCAAGCCUGAUCUAGCCAUGCCGCGUGAGCGAUGAAGGCCUUAGGGUUGUAAAGCUCUUUCGUGGGGGAAGAUAAUGACGGUACCCCAAGAAGAAGCCCCGGCUAACUCCGUGCCAGCCGCCGCUGUAA
This 447-nucleotide ribosomal RNA is filed under the name uncultured bacterium. RNAcentral's name for it is "partial 16S ribosomal RNA". It matches the Rfam family "Bacterial small subunit ribosomal RNA", at positions 29 to 523 of the family's 1533-position model. The record is from RNAcentral.